ACUUAAAUAGCUUAUUUAGAGCAUAACACUGAAGAUGUUAAGGAAACAAUUAUAUUUUUAGGUA
RNAcentral lists this transfer RNA (64 nucleotides) under Romalea microptera (eastern lubber grasshopper). RNAcentral describes it as "tRNA-Phe". Lineage: Eukaryota; Metazoa; Arthropoda; Insecta; Orthoptera; Romaleidae. The record is from RNAcentral.